CCCGAAGGUAUCCUGAAUCUUUCGCAUUGUUAAUCAUACAAGUGCAUAUAAUAAACACAAAAAUCAACGAUAAUCAUGCCAUUAUAUAAUUUCGAAAAAUUAACGCACUGUAUUUUUUAUAAAUUUAUCAGCACUUUAUCAAAUUUACAAAAUUUAUUUUGUGCCCAAAAUGCAANGCAUAAUAAUUCAAAUAAACAAUAUUUCACAAUUU
Molecule: ribosomal RNA, 211 nt
Filed under: Hirtodrosophila pictiventris
Lineage: Eukaryota; Metazoa; Arthropoda; Insecta; Diptera; Drosophilidae
Description: partial 28S ribosomal RNA
Source: RNAcentral